This 1148-nucleotide ribosomal RNA is filed under the name Escherichia coli. Its description in RNAcentral is "partial 23S ribosomal RNA". It matches the Rfam family "Bacterial large subunit ribosomal RNA", at positions 1 to 1190 of the family's 2925-position model. The record is from RNAcentral. Lineage: Bacteria; Pseudomonadati; Pseudomonadota; Gammaproteobacteria; Enterobacterales; Enterobacteriaceae.
GGUUAAGCGACUAAGCGUACACGGUGGAUGCCCUGGCAGUCAGAGGCGAUGAAGGACGUGCUAAUCUGCGAUAAGCGUCGGUAAGGUGAUAUGAACCGUUAUAACCGGCGAUUUCCGAAUGGGGAAACCCAGUGUGUUUCGACACACUAUCAUUAACUGAAUCCAUAGGUUAAUGAGGCGAACCGGGGGAACUGAAACAUCUAAGUACCCCGAGGAAAAGAAAUCAACCGAGAUUCCCCCAGUAGCGGCGAGCGAACGGGGAGCAGCCCAGAGCCUGAAUCAGUGUGUGUGUUAGUGGAAGCGUCUGGAAAGGCGCGCGAUACAGGGUGACAGCCCCGUACACAAAAAUGCACAUGCUGUGAGCUCGAUGAGUAGGGCGGGACACGUGGUAUCCUGUCUGAAUAUGGGGGGACCAUCCUCCAAGGCUAAAUACUCCUGACUGACCGAUAGUGAACCAGUACCGUGAGGGAAAGGCGAAAAGAACCCCGGCGAGGGGAGUGAAAAAGAACCUGAAACCGUGUACGUACAAGCAGUGGGAGCACGCUUAGGCGUGUGACUGCGUACCUUUUGUAUAAUGGGUCAGCGACUUAUAUUCUGUAGCAAGGUUAACCGAAUAGGGGAGCCGAAGGGAAACCGAGUCUUAACUGGGCGUUAAGUUGCAGGGUAUAGACCCGAAACCCGGUGAUCUAGCCAUGGGCAGGUUGAAGGUUGGGUAACACUAACUGGAGGACCGAACCGACUAAUGUUGAAAAAUUAGCGGAUGACUUGUGGCUGGGGGUGAAAGGCCAAUCAAACCGGGAGAUAGCUGGUUCUCCCCGAAAGCUAUUUAGGUAGCGCCUCGUGAAUUCAUCUCCGGGGGUAGAGCACUGUUUCGGCAAGGGGGUCAUCCCGACUUACCAACCCGAUGCAAACUGCGAAUACCGGAGAAUGUUAUCACGGGAGACACACGGCGGGUGCUAACGUCCGUCGUGAAGAGGGAAACAACCCAGACCGCCAGCUAAGGUCCCAAAGUCAUGGUUAAGUGGGAAACGAUGUGGGAAGGCCCAGACAGCCAGGAUGUUGGCUUAGAAGCAGCCAUCAUUUAAAGAAAGCGUAAUAGCUCACUGGUCGAGUCGGCCUGCGCGGAAGAUGUAACGGGGCUAAACCAU